Molecule: long non-coding RNA, 1787 nt
Organism: Cyprinus carpio carpio
Lineage: Eukaryota; Metazoa; Chordata; Actinopteri; Cypriniformes; Cyprinidae
Source: Ensembl
CUGAUACAUCAAGUGAAAGUGAUUCUAUAAACUUCCCUAAAUGUCUUCAUCAACCAUGUGAAUUACCUGUUUCUGGAGGUUGAUUUCUACUUUUUUAGUUUUCUUACUCAUGUGGUCGGUUUUUCAGUUUUGAUCUCAUUCUAAAAUAGAUACAUGGUAACUGGUCAGAUAUAUUUUUAUAUAGCACAGGAUUCUUGACAGACAUGUCAAACUGAACUGAUAUUUUGCCCAUUUUAAGUGCCUACAGACAUAGUGAAAUGGCCCUGUUCAUCUUCAUAAUAUUUUAUCUUUUACUGGUGGUUAAAUUGCAAGGUUUGGCCACCAUGUCGUCUUUGCCACCAAUCACAGAGGGCAGCCCAACAGUGAUUCCCAAUGGAACCUUACAAGUGAAUUUGUCCACUGCAUCAACAAUGAACACAACAUUUUUGGGUGUAACAUCCACUACUGAGUCUGAAAUCACAACAGACCUGAUAACCAAUAUGUCAAGUCUAAGUUCCCAAGACAACCAUAGUUUAAAAGAUCCUGCAAACGCAUCCUUAGAAUCGACUACACUUACUGAUAAUACAGAACGUGCUUCAGUUUUCCCCUUGAUGACUAAAGGCCCUGAAAUCAGAAAGUACUCAAAUACAAAAAUGUUCUUCCUCAUUGCUGUGGUUGCAUCUGGUGGAGGAAUUGUACUGACUGGACUCGUGGGCACCUGUUUGUACAGACGUACACGAAAGUCAAAGGCAGAGAGGAUUUGGAUCGAAUCGAGCAGCAAAAAACACAAACAGGGACAUUCUUUACCAGUGGCCAGUUCAGACUCAUCUGGAGAGGAAGAUACAGUGCUUUACUCAACCAUCAACUUCAUUCAACCCCCCUCUCAACCACCAGGAAACAAUGAAGAAUCAAUUCAAAAUGAGGUUGAACUGAAUCAUUUGUAUUACACCGUCAUAACCAAACCGGCAAUCUCCAGUGACAGCAGGAGUGUUUACAGUCAGCUGAAGAUUCACAUGAACAGAAUAACCACAUCAGAAGGCACAGCAUGAAUAUGCAUACUUUUAAGCAAUAAUAAUUGUUAUUGUGAAUGGCAGUUGUAUAGAUCAACAUAAGGACAGUCAUAUUUCCUCCUGUUACUUGUGUGAAUAUUUUCACCUGAUGUUUAUUAUUUAAAGCACCUCAUUUUUAUGUUUCUCUUUUUGUUCCUUUUGUACUUUUCCGCUGUUCCUCAAAGUUAUGUCUAAAAUCUCUUUGAAGACUGGAGUAAUGGCUGCUGAAAAUCCCACUUUGUCAUCACAGGAAUAAAAUAUAUUCAAAUAGAAAACUGUUAUUUUGAAUUGGUAUAAUAUAUUCACAGUGUUACUGUUUUUACUGUAUUUGUGAUCAAAUAAAUGCAGCUUUAGUAAACAAGAGAGACUUCUCUCAAAAACAUUUAAAAAAUGUUACCAAGCCCAAUCGUUUGAAUGGUGUACAUGAAGAAGUUUUUUUUUUUUUUUUUAAUGAAAACCAGACACCGGAGAAACCUACAGCAAUACAGGUAUCCGAUUACUGUGAAUAUGCGUCAGAUGACAGCACACUCUCCUGUCUAAAACAUGGACUUACAGUUAUAUAUGUGACAUGAUGGCAGUCUUCUCAUUAACACAAGUUGUACCACUACUCUUUGCAUUAUGGUAUGGUACACUGAGUUAUGCUGCUCAUCCUCCUCAUCUUUACACUCUUUCUGGAGGUUCAACCUCAGUAAGUGACAACUUAAAUUAAAAAAAAUAAAAUGUUAUAUUUCAUAUUAAGUCUCUGUUCUCCUCUGCUCU